RNAcentral lists this ribosomal RNA (648 nucleotides) under Dermacoccus sp. B-139-2-1. RNAcentral describes it as "bacterial SSU rRNA". It matches the Rfam family "Bacterial small subunit ribosomal RNA", at positions 87 to 749 of the family's 1533-position model. Lineage: Bacteria; Bacillati; Actinomycetota; Actinomycetes; Micrococcales; Dermacoccaceae. The record is from RNAcentral.
GUGGAUUAGUGGCGAACGGGUGAGUAACACGUGAGUAACCUGCCCCCUACUCUGGGAUAAGCCUGGGAAACUGGGUCUAAUACUGGAUAUGACCAAUCACUGCAUGGUGUGUUGGUGGAAAGAUUUUUUGGUGGGGGAUGGACUCGCGGCCUAUCAGCUUGUUGGUGGGGUAAUGGCCUACCAAGGCGACGACGGGUAGCCGGCCUGAGAGGGCGACCGGCCACACUGGGACUGAGACACGGCCCACACUCCUACGGGAGGCAGCAGUGGGGAAUAUUGCACAAUGGGCGAAAGCCUGAUGCAGCGACGCCGCGUGAGGGAUGACGGCCUUCGGGUUGUAAACCUCUUUCACUCUGGACGAAGCUAACGUGACGGUACCUGGAAAAGAAGCCCGGCUAACUACGUGCCUCCAACCGCGGUAAUACGUAAGGUGCCAGCGUUGUCCGGAAUUAUUGGGCGUAAAGAGCUUGUAGGCGGUUUGUCGCGUCUGCUGUGAAAGACCGGGGCUUAACUCCGGUUCUGAAGUGGGUACGGGCAGACUAGAGUGUGGUACGUGACACUGUAAUUCCUGUUGUAGAGGUGAAAUGCGCAUAUAUCAUGUGGAACUCCGAUGGCGAAAGCAGGUCUCUGGACCAUUACUGAAGCUGA